UGUGUGUGUGUGUGUGUGUGUGUGUAUGUGUGUGCGUGCGUGCGUGCGUGUGCAUACACCCACACACCACAUA
Podarcis lilfordi (Lilford's wall lizard) is the source of this 73-nucleotide non-coding RNA. The record is from the annotation of a GenBank genome assembly. Lineage: Eukaryota; Metazoa; Chordata; Lepidosauria; Squamata; Lacertidae.